UCCCUAAAGAGACCUUUUGAGGUACCUCGUGCAGCUAGAGAAAAGCUAGUAGAGACGGAAUACACAUCGAAGGAUGUCGGUGUCAACUGCAGCUGUUCACAGAGGCAUGAAGAGAUCAGUGGAUCCUCCGAAGCUCAAUUUACAAGUGGUUGGAGAGAGGAUUGGAUCUGGAAAUUCAGUUCUUUUUCAUGUAGAAAUUCAACUUUUCCAGCACCAUUUGCUUGUUCCACAAUGUACAUUUUUGACUGCUUCAUUUAAAAAAAAAUGGGGGACUGGGCUAGGCACCAUAGUGUACCCUUUUUAAUACCAGCACUUGGGAAUCAGGAGCAAAUAGAUCUCUGGAUUUGAAGCCAUCAUGGUCAACAUAGUGAGCUUCAGACUAUCCAAAGCUAUAUGCAGAGAUCCUGUCUC
Molecule: long non-coding RNA, 411 nt
Filed under: Rattus norvegicus (Norway rat)
Lineage: Eukaryota; Metazoa; Chordata; Mammalia; Rodentia; Muridae
Description: long non-coding RNA NONRATT022053
Source: RNAcentral